Vigna umbellata (rice bean) is the source of this 1752-nucleotide non-coding RNA. The record is from RefSeq and is a predicted model, not a curated record. NCBI's taxonomy places the organism in Eukaryota, Viridiplantae, Streptophyta, Magnoliopsida, Fabales, Fabaceae.
UCUUGUUGUACUUACUGUUAAUUUAACUGUUUUGAAUGUAUACCCUUAGCUAUUACUCAGUGGGAUAAGGCUGUUGUAAAAAGCUCUUAUAUGUUAAUCUAUUGAGUGAAAAUCCAAUUGAGUUUGUAUUUUGUAGUGUUUCUAGGUAUAGAUGUUGUUUGGAUACUUUAGCCACUGUUGACCGGCCAUGUAUUGGAAACAGGUUAAGAAGCUGGGAAAACGGGCUGACACUUCUCAAUUUCGUACUCAGUUGGAUGCUCUGGGAUUACGCAUUGUUGAAGUGACUGCAGAUGGUAAUUGUUUCUUCAGAUCCCUUGCUGAUCAGUUGGAAGGCAAUGAGGAAGAACAUAAAAAGUACCGCAGCACGGUUGUAAAACACAUAUUGGAUAAUCGAGAGAUGUUUGAGCCCUUUAUUGAAGAUGAAGUACCAUUUGAUGAGUAUUGCCAAUCCAUGGAAAAUGAGGGUACAUGGGCUGGACAUAUGGAAUUGCAGGCAGCUUCUCUUGUAACACGUAGUAAUAUAUGCAUUCACAGGCACAUGUCUCCUCGGUGGUACAUAAGAAAUUUUGACGAUUAUGGAGUUCGCAUGGUUCAUUUGUCUUAUCAUGAUGGGGAGCAUUAUAACAGUGUGCGGUUGAAGGAUGAUCCUUGUGAUGGGCCGGCAAGGCCGAUUGUAAUCAAGGCUGAUGCUGAUCUUUCAGUACCUUCACAUGAAACAAAAGUCAUGAACAACAAAACCCGUGGGCGAGCUGGUAAGGAAACUUUUCAACCGGGGUCCAUAAAGUUGGUUAUGGCUGGAACUGGAUGUGAAAAUGCUGAAAAAGUGGAACAGAUUCUAGGGCAGGUACAUGGAGACAUUGAUGCUGCGAUAGAAUUUCUAAUAGCAGAGCAAGGAACUGAAGAGUGCUCUGCGAACUCAGAUUCCCUACCUAGUCGGGCUAAUACUUAUGCACGUAUAGGUCAUGAUGAAAAUGAGAACCAUAAGCAACACAAAGAGGACAAGGUAGAGGACAGCACUAAUGAUGAAUCAAACAAUAGUUCCAGGAAGACCAAUAUCAAAUUGCAACCAAUUGAUAAGAUUCCUAGAAACAAGGUCUGCCCGUGUGGUUCCAAAAAGAAAUAUAAAGCUUGUUGUGGAUCUGCCUUGGGAACACAAUCUGCUAAGUUUCUAGUUAACCAAGCAGCUGACGCACGAAGAGGGAAAAAUGAAAGGAAGCGAGGAGAAAAGGGGAUUUCUGCAAAAGUAGAAGCGCCUAGUGAAUACGAUUUGGUAACACCUGACGUGGGCGCCCUUUGUAUUUGAAUUGACAAUAGAUAAGUUGAUUGUGCUGCACCAGAGGAGAUGAUACUGAAGGAGUGUAUACCAACUUCACAUCUAGGCUUUAUUCAAAAGUGCAUCCUGUGUCCUUGUUUGCUUUUGGCAGAAACCACAUCGGGUACAGGAAAGGAAUGUACAGAAGCAGAAAUAGAGUUACAGAAAUCAUUUACAAUUUUUGUUCUUCCGGCAAGAUGCUUUUGGGAAGAAUGUGGAAGUUUUGAUCAUUUUUUUCAUCGGAAAUCUCGUGUGAGAAUCAGUUUUGCCAAAAAUAUAGGGUAGAAAUAUCAUCAUUAUGAUUUAGUCAAAAAGUUCAGCUGAACAAGGGUCCUUUUUCCUUUUAACAUUUUCGGCUAGAGUCAAUGGACCUAAUCAACCAGAGAAAAAUUUCUUACAUUAUCUCAGUAAUACAAGACUAGAGUGGUUCAAAUGAGGAA